This 497-nucleotide ribosomal RNA is filed under the name uncultured bacterium. Its description in RNAcentral is "partial 16S ribosomal RNA". It matches the Rfam family "Bacterial small subunit ribosomal RNA", at positions 28 to 507 of the family's 1533-position model. The record is from RNAcentral.
GAUGAACGCUGGCGGCGUGCCUAAUACAUGCAAGUCGAGCGAACAGAUAAGGAGCUUGCUCCUUUGACGUUAGCGGCGGACGGGUGAGUAACACGUGGGUAACCUACCUAUAAGACUGGAAUAACUCCGGGAAACCGGGGCUAAUGCCGGAUAACAUUUAGAACCGCAUGGUUCUAAAGUGAAAGAUGGUUUUGCUAUCACUGAUAGAUGGACCCGCGCCGUAUUAGCUAGUUGGUAAGGUAACGGCUUACCAAGGCAACGAUACGUAGCCGACCUGAGAGGGUGAUCGGCCACACUGGAGCUGAGACACGGUCCAGACUCCUACGAGAGGCAGCAGUAGGGAAUCUUCCGCAAUGGGCGAAAGCAUGACGGAGCAACGCCGCGUGAGUGAUGAAGGUCUUCGGAUCGUAAAACUCUGUUAUUAGGGAAGAACAAAUGUGUAAGUAACUGUGCACAUCUUGACGGUACCUAAUCAGAAAGCCACGGCUAACUACGUG